UGUUCGGUAGCUCAACGGUGGAGUAUCAGGCUGUUAACCGGAGGUUGUAAGUUCGAAUCCUACCCGGGGAGCCA
RNAcentral lists this transfer RNA (74 nucleotides) under subsurface metagenome. RNAcentral describes it as "tRNA-Asn". It matches the Rfam family "tRNA". Rfam says of the family: Transfer RNA (tRNA) molecules are approximately 80 nucleotides in length. The record is from RNAcentral.